CCUACGGGAGGCAGCAGUGAGGACUAUUGGUCAAUGGACGAGAGUCUGAACCAGCCAAGUAGCGUGAAGGAUGACUGCCCUAUGGGUUGUAAACUUCUUUUAUAUGGGAAUAAAACGUUCCACGUGUGGGAUUUUGUAUGUACCAUAUGAAUAAGGAUCGGCUAACUCCGUGCCAGCAGCCGCGGUAAUACGGAGGAUCCGAGCGUUAUCCGGAUUUAUUGGGUUUAAAGGGAGCGUAGGUGGAUUGUUAAGUCAGUUGUGAAAGUUUGCGGCUCAACCGUAAAAUUGCAGUUGAAACUGGCAGUCUUGAGUACAGUAGAGGUGGGCGGAAUUCGUGGUGUAGCGGUGAAAUGCUUAGAUAUCACGAAGAACUCCGAUUGCGAAGGCAGUUCACUGGACUGCAACUGACACUGAGGCGCGAAAGUGUGGGUAUCAAACAGGAUUAGAUACCCCAGUAGUC
Molecule: ribosomal RNA, 460 nt
Filed under: uncultured bacterium
Lineage: Bacteria
Description: partial 16S ribosomal RNA
Rfam family: Bacterial small subunit ribosomal RNA
Source: RNAcentral